Equus caballus (horse) is the source of this 1101-nucleotide non-coding RNA. The record is from RefSeq and is a predicted model, not a curated record. Lineage: Eukaryota; Metazoa; Chordata; Mammalia; Perissodactyla; Equidae.
GAAAUAAAGUUCAGGUCCCCUAGAUCAAUAUGGUCAAGAAAAGCAGUUGCAGGUCAGCGCUCCCUCUCCUCUUCAUCAGCCAUCACCUAUUCAUCCAUUCCAGGACCAAGGACAACGAAACAAAACAAACAACCCUGACUUCCAAUAUGUGUGCCUCCUUGAAUCUUCGGAGAGGAUAACUCGGGAUACUGGCAGAGAGCUUUGCUACUCAUUGUGAUCCAUGGACCAUCUGCAUCACCUGGGAGCAUCACCCUGGAUUCAUUGAAACAGAACUUGCCAUUUAAAAGGAUUCUGAAGUGAUUCAUGUAUGCUGUAACACCUGAGAGCAUUAGCAUGACUGAGGACCCGAGUGGGUGAGCAGGCAAACCCGGAAGCCCCCUGGGAAGCAAUGAGAAGGAGAAAGCCUGAGAAACUCGCAGGCUGAAUUUUGAUUUUUGUGGAUCUCUGCUACAAAACCUCUUAACGUCCUUCUACGCCACUCCCUCUUCUUCUGACCUCCACGACCCCUUCACCUUAGCUGGUCUGCAACUGUGCGAGUUUCUUUCCAACUACUUGUCCCCACCCCAAAGCUGGCAAUUUGCUCCCUCCCUCUCUUCCACCUGCCUCUGCUACGUGACCUAGAGUGAGUCACCUGCCAUCCUAAAUCCUUGGUUCCUUCAGCUGGAGAUGGUGCACCUGUUUUAGAAGGUCUCUGAUGGUGCUUCUAUUCUGAGGUUGUAAGAUUCAGGUCAUGCCUGCUCAAGAAAAACACAUGUGACUUGGUUAAAAAUGAGCAUCUGGGCAUGGGUUACUCUUUCUACUUGAAAGUAUUUUUUAAUGGCAAGAGUAACAUAUGAGCAUUUUUUCCUACACAAAAUGAAAACAUCAGAGAUAAGAUUCAAAUUGUUCUUUCCUGCAACCCCAGCUCAUACCACCUCAAAUGUUGAGAUCAAAGAAAUACAAAAAAAACCUCAAACGUUACCCACUUCACUACUUUAGGAGUUUGAUUUGUACUUUUUCUGAGAAUUUUCUGUUUUUAUACACAUUAUGUAUAUCCAAAGAAACUGUAUAACAUUGUUUUGUGAGUUUUAUUUUUAAAAAUAAAGAUGCUAUUUCUACACA